Molecule: RNA transcript, 2730 nt
Organism: Ictalurus punctatus (channel catfish)
Lineage: Eukaryota; Metazoa; Chordata; Actinopteri; Siluriformes; Ictaluridae
Exons: 3
Source: RefSeq, a predicted model, not a curated record
GGGGUGUAAUCUGACAAAGGAAAGCUGUAGAUUUCUGUCCUCAGUUCUCAGCUCAAAAUCCUCCAGACUGAGAGAACUGGACCUGGGUUACAAUAACCUGCAGGAUUCAGGAGUGAAGCUGCUCUCUGCUGGACUGGAGAAUCCACACUGUACACUGGAGACACUAUGGAUGAAUUACUGCAGUAUUACAGAUGAAGGUUGUGCUGCUCUGGCUUCAGCUCUGAGGUCAAACUCCUCAUCACACCUGAGAGAACUGGAUCUGAAGGGUAAUAAUCCAAUCAAAUCAGGAGUGAAGCUGCUCUCCGAUCUACUGAAGGAUCCACACUGUAAACUGGAGACAUUAUACAUUAUGUAGAAUAAACUCACCAGGACUGGCGUAUGACAGGAGUCUCACCUCAAACCUCUUCUCCAGGAUAAAGCAGUUUUGGUGAAGAGUUAGAACCCGUCCCACAUUUCCAGCAGUUUGGGAGCUGAAUCAUUAAACUUAAAGGGACAGAGCAGAAACAAGGUCAAGAACAGGCAGAAGGUCAUACACAGGAGAAAUCAACACAUGUAAUGAAAUAUCUGCUGUACAAAGCAACUGCAAUUUUCCCCGGGGAUGGAGACUGAAGAGGCUUACGUACACGUCCGGAAAUGUACAGACUGAUCCCAAAGCACGAGGUGGGAGCAGGCAUGUUAAUGGUAAAUGGUCUGCACUUAUAUAGCGCUUUUUUAACCGUAGUGGUUCCAAAGCGCUUUACACUGUUUAACAUUCAUGAGGCUUCUGCCAAAGCGUAGAUGUGAAAAUACAGUGGAAAAUUUCCCUUGCAACCUGCCAGCCUUUGCAGUGUCAUGAACACAGUGUCUUGGUCAACGCAGGAGAUGAUUUAAAAAUGUGCCUAUGAAACAGUGAGUGUUCAGCAUACAUGGAGGCACUGGUUCUGUACAUAGUGUUACAUGAAAUAAGACCAGAAAUGACACAAAUCAAUACCCUUGUGUGCAUCUCUCUAAUGGCCUGAUUAGGUCCAUGUCAAUUCUUCCAACUGCGACCUUGAAUAAAGGUAAUGGGCACAAUGGUGCUAUUGGGGUGGCCAGUGGAUUUGCAGCUCAAAUUAGUAGCCUGGUAACAAUUGCUUACACAGCUCUUUUUUGAUGCACCAGUCGACUUAACACUACCCAUAUGAGUUGAUGUUUGGCCAAAAACCUAAGCUACCAGUGGAUAGUUUGCUUGAUGGUAGUGAAGAAGGGGAAGGAGAUGGUGCCCAUUCAGAUUGGGUGGACCAACACCAAAAGUAUUUGACCUCCAUUUAUUCCAGUUCACGAAGGCACUUGGAGACUGUGGUCAUUCACCGUAGGACCAAUUGCCCUGAUUCAGUAGCAAUACUAUCCCGUGGCACUUUAGUGUAUUGUAAGAAUCAUUUUCAUGGUUGCCGUAAGAUUUAGGAUGUCUGGCGCUCCACUGUGUUUGAGAUUGUAGCCUACAUUGAUGAAGUGGGAACGCUAUAUAAAAUCAGACCACAUUUAGAAGAUGGCCCCAUUAAAACUGUCCAUUGAUCAGAUCUUAAGCCUGUUCUUACCUGGCAACAAUAUGCAAGGUAAACCAAUGGGUCACGUCUACUGGCCCUUUCCAGCCCCAGGAGUGAGUAGAGCCAGAAGGACCUAGAAUUGGAGAUUAUUCACAAGUGGCCAUAGUCCAUUCGAGAACGGGUGUAAGGAACUCUGAGGGUCAAGUCCACGUUGAUUCUAGUUCUUAGCCCUCAGUGCUUCAGUCUAGUCCAACAGGGGUACAAAAUGAUUACUCUCUUAUGAGUAUAGGUUCAUCUUUAACGUCUCAACCCCAGGUGACCACACGAGAGCAAGAUCUGAAUUUAGAAACUUCUCUAGAUCUUCAUAUAACACAGUCACUUGAUCAGUCAGUAAUGGGUUUAGUUUCUAGGAUAUCCUUUAGGCGUUCUACUCAUGGGACUCUGUGUUCACCCGAAUGGUGACCAUUAAAAGUAGAGGUGAAUUUGGCAAAGUUGGUUGGAGGCGCUGUUGCGCAUGCCCACUAGAGAGUGGAUUGAUUCUUUAUACACAUCACUUCCUGUCUAUAGAACCAUGUCCAGUGCUUGAAUCCUUUGCUACACUGUGAUUGUUGGUUGCUUGAAGAACAAGUUCUGUUGACAACAAAUGUGUGUUAUAAAUCUGCCAGUAUAAACCUGGACAGGCUAUUAUUUCAGAGGUUUCGUAGUGUGUGGUCAUAAUUUGUCUGUAUCACAUUGAUUGUGUGUGGAUGUGAAGAUGAAAAAAAUAUGAACAAUACCAUCAAACCCAUAUGUGCUUGUUGAAUAUCCCAUUAUAGAUUUAGUCCCCCUUUGUUGUUAUAAUAACCUCCACUCUUCUAGGUAAUCUUUCCACUUUAUUUGGAGCAUGGCCUUUGGGAUUUGUGCAUUUGAGCAUGCAUUUCACCUUCUGAAGAAGAGAUUAAAAGGGGAAACCCCUCAAAACAAACAACAACUGGACGAAGCUGUGGUAAAAGCCUGGAAAAGCAUCACAAAAGAAGAGUGCAACAAUUUGGUGAUGUCAGUGAAUCGCCGCUUGAUUAUUUAUUGCAAGUAAGGGAUAUGCAACCAAAUAGUGUUAUUUACUUUGAUUUCCUUGAAGACUAUCUGUUCCAAUAUUUUUGCUCACCUCAAAAAUGUUCUAAGUUGUUUAACACAUCUAGAUGUAUAUAUCAGGAAAUUAAAGAUUCAAUUUUGUUCUAUUGUGUCA